This 433-nucleotide ribosomal RNA is filed under the name uncultured bacterium. Its description in RNAcentral is "bacterial SSU rRNA". It matches the Rfam family "Bacterial small subunit ribosomal RNA", at positions 612 to 1043 of the family's 1533-position model. The record is from RNAcentral.
ACCCAGAGGCUGCUUUCAAAACUGCCGCGCUCGAGUGCGAGAGAGGUCAGUGGAAUUGCAGGUGUAGCGGUGAAAUGCGUAGAUAUCUGCAGGAACACCCGUGGCGAAGGCGGCUGACUGGAUCGCAACUGACACUGAGGAACGAAAGCUAGGGGAGCAAACAGGAUUAGAUACCCUGGUAGUCCUAGCCCUAAACCAUCGGAACUUGGGGUGGCUCGCGUAGGCGGGUCGUCCCGUAGCUAACGCGUUAAGUUCCGCGCCUGGGGAGUACGGUCGCAAGACUGAAACUCAAAGGAAUUGACGGGGGCCCGCACAAGCGGUGGAACAUGUGGUUCAAUUCGACGCAACGCGAAGAACCUUACCUGGGCUUGAACCGCUACUGACCAACGGUAGAAAUAUCGUCUUCCCGCAAGGGACAGUAGUAGAGGUGCUG